RNAcentral lists this ribosomal RNA (483 nucleotides) under uncultured bacterium. Its description in RNAcentral is "partial 16S ribosomal RNA". It matches the Rfam family "Bacterial small subunit ribosomal RNA", at positions 30 to 507 of the family's 1533-position model. The record is from RNAcentral.
AUUGAACGCUGGCGGCAGGCCUAACACAUGCAAGUCGAGCGGAUGAAGGGAGCUUGCUCCUGGAUUCAGCGGCGGACGGGUGAGUAAUGCCUAGGAAUCUGCCUGGUAGUGGGGGAUAACGUCCGGAAACGGGCGCUAAUACCGCAUACGUCCUGAGGGAGAAAGUGGGGGAUCUUCGGACCUCACGCUAUCAGAUGAGCCUAGGUCGGAUUAGCUAGUUGGUGGGGUAAAGGCCUACCAAGGCGACGAUCCGUAACUGGUCUGAGAGGAUGAUCAGUCACACUGGAACUGAGAAACGGUCCAGACUCCUACGGGAGGCAGCAGUGGGGAAUAUUGGACAAUGGGCGAAAGCCUGAUCCAGCCAUGCCGCGUGUGUGAAGAAGGUCUUCGGAUUGUAAAGCACUUUAAGUUGGGGGAAGGGCAGUAAGUUAAUACCUUGCUGUUUUGACGUUACCAACAGAAUAAGCACCGGCUAACUUCGUG